Molecule: ribosomal RNA, 449 nt
Filed under: uncultured bacterium
Lineage: Bacteria
Description: partial 16S ribosomal RNA
Rfam family: Bacterial small subunit ribosomal RNA
Source: RNAcentral
AACGAACGCUGGCGGCAUGCCUAACACAUGCAAGUCGAACGAAGGCUUCGGCCUUAAUGGCGCACGGGUGCGUAACGCGUGGGAAUCUGCCCCUCGGUUCGGAAUAACAGUUAGAAAUGACUGCUAAUACCGGAUGAUGACUUCGGUCCAAAGAUUUAUCGCCGAGGGAUGAGCCCGCGUAAGAUUAGGUAGUUGGUGGGGUAAAGGCCUACCAAGCCGACGAUCUUUAGCUGGUCUGAGAGGAUGAUCAGCCACACUGGGACUGAGACACGGCCCAGACUCCUACGGGAGGCAGCAGUGGGGAAUAUUGGACAAUGGGCGAAAGCCUGAUCCAGCAAUGCCGCGUGAGUGAUGAAGGCCUUAGGGUUGUAAAGCUCUUUUACCAGGGAUGAUAAUGACAGUACCUGGAGAAUAAGCUCCGGCUAACUCCGUGCCAGCCGCCGCCGUAA